AGUGAACGCUGGCGGUAGGCCUAACACAUGCAAGUCGAACGGCAGCACAGUAAGAGCUUGCUCUUACGGGUGGCGAGUGGCGGACGGGUGAGGAAUACAUCGGAAUCUACUUUUUCGUGGGGGAUAACGUAGGGAAACUUACGCUAAUACCGCAUACGACCUACGGGUGAAAGCAGGGGAUCUUCGGACCUUGCGCGAUUGAAUGAGCCGAUGUCGGAUUAGCUAGUUGGCGGGGUAAAGGCCCACCAAGGCGACGAUCCGUAGCUGGUCUGAGAGGAUGAUCAGCCACACUGGAACUGAGACACGGUCCAGACUCCUACGGGAGGCAGCAGUGGGGAAUAUUGGACAAGGGGCGCAAGCCUGAUCCAGCCAUACCGCGUGGGUGAAGAAGGCCUUCGGGUUGUAAAGCCCUUUUGUUGGGAAAGAAAAGCAGCAGGUUAAUACCCCGCUGUUCCGACGGUACCCAAAGAAUAAGCACCGGCUAACUUCGUG
RNAcentral lists this ribosomal RNA (492 nucleotides) under uncultured bacterium. RNAcentral describes it as "partial 16S ribosomal RNA". It matches the Rfam family "Bacterial small subunit ribosomal RNA", at positions 29 to 507 of the family's 1533-position model. The record is from RNAcentral.